RNAcentral lists this ribosomal RNA (237 nucleotides) under uncultured Desulfosarcina sp. RNAcentral describes it as "partial 16S ribosomal RNA". It matches the Rfam family "Bacterial small subunit ribosomal RNA", at positions 1150 to 1382 of the family's 1533-position model. The record is from RNAcentral. Lineage: Bacteria; Pseudomonadati; Thermodesulfobacteriota; Desulfobacteria; Desulfobacterales; Desulfosarcinaceae.
UGCCCCGGGUCAACGGGGGACGGAAGGUGGGGAUGACGUCAAGUCCUCAUGGCCUUUAUGCCUAGGGCUACACACGUGCUACAAUGGGCGGUACAAAGGGUCGCGAUCCCGCGAGGGGGGAGCCAAUCCCAAAAAGCCGUCCCAAGUUCGGAUUGGAGUCUGCAACUCGACUCCAUGAAGCUGGAAUCGCUAGUAAUCGCGGAUCAGCAUGCCGCGGUGAAUACGUUCCCGGGCCUU